This 72-nucleotide transfer RNA is filed under the name Camelus bactrianus (Bactrian camel). It matches the Rfam family "tRNA". Rfam says of the family: Transfer RNA (tRNA) molecules are approximately 80 nucleotides in length. Their secondary structure includes four short double-helical elements and three loops (D, anti-codon, and T loops). The record is from Rfam by way of RNAcentral. RNAcentral also lists the same sequence under 2 other names. Lineage: Eukaryota; Metazoa; Chordata; Mammalia; Artiodactyla; Camelidae.
GAGGGUAUAGCUCAGUGGUAGAGCACAUGCUUAGCAUGCACAAGGUCCUGAGUUCAAUCCCCAGUACCUCCA